RNAcentral lists this ribosomal RNA (445 nucleotides) under uncultured bacterium. RNAcentral describes it as "partial 16S ribosomal RNA". It matches the Rfam family "Bacterial small subunit ribosomal RNA", at positions 354 to 796 of the family's 1533-position model. The record is from RNAcentral.
GUGAGGAAUAUUGGUCAAUGGACGAGAGUCUGAACCAGCCAAGUCGCGUGAAGGAAGACGGUUCUAUGAAUUGUAAACUUCUUUUGUGCAGGAAUAAAGUGGGUUACGUGUAACCUUUUGUAUGUACUGUACGAAUAAGGAUCGGCUAACUCCGUGCCAGCAGCCGCGGUAAUACGGAGGAUCCGAGCGUUAUCCGGAUUUAUUGGGUUUAAAGGGUGCGUAGGUGGAUUGAUAAGUCAGCGGUGAAAGUUUGCAGCUUAACUGUAAAAUUGCCGUUGAAACUGUCGGUCUUGAGUGCAAAUGAGGUAGGCGGAAUGUGUUGUGUAGCGGUGAAAUGCUUAGAUAUAACACAGAACUCCGAUUGCGAAGGCAGCUUACUGGGAUGCAACUGACACUGAUGCACGAAAGCGUGGGUAUCAAACAGGAUUAGAUACCCGAGUAGUCC